CCUACGGGUGGCAGCAGUGGGGAAUAUUGGACAAUGGGGGGAACCCUGAUCCAGCCAUGCCGCGUGUGUGAAGAAGGCCCUCGGGUUGUAAAGCACUUUCAGUGAGGAAGAACGCCUGGUGGUUAAUACCCAUCAGGAAAGACAUCACUCACAGAAGAAGCACCGGCUAACUCCGUGCCAGCAGCCGCGGUAAUACGGAGGGUGCGAGCGUUAAUCGGAAUUACUGGGCGUAAAGCGCGCGUAGGUGGCUUGAUAAGCCGGUUGUGAAAGCCCCGGGCUCAACCUGGGAACGGCAUCCGGAACUGUCAAGCUAGAGUGCAGGAGAGGAAGGUAGAAUUCCCGGUGUAGCGGUGAAAUGCGUAGAGAUCGGGAGGAAUACCAGUGGCGAAGGCGGCCUUCUGGACUGACACUGACACUGAGGUGCGAAAGCGUGGGUAGCAAACAGGAUUAGCUACCCGUGUAGUC
Molecule: ribosomal RNA, 465 nt
Filed under: Vreelandella stevensii
Lineage: Bacteria; Pseudomonadati; Pseudomonadota; Gammaproteobacteria; Oceanospirillales; Halomonadaceae
Description: partial 16S ribosomal RNA
Rfam family: Bacterial small subunit ribosomal RNA
Source: RNAcentral